AAACUUUCAACAACGGAUCUCUUGGUUCUGGCAUCGAUGAAGAACGCAGCGAAAUGCGAUAAGUAAUGUGAAUUGCAGAAUUUAGUGAAUCAUCGAAUCUUUGAACGCACAUUGCGCCCGCCGGUAUUGCGGCGGGCAUGCCUGUCCGAGCGUCA
RNAcentral lists this ribosomal RNA (155 nucleotides) under Magnaporthiopsis poae. RNAcentral describes it as "5.8S ribosomal RNA". It matches the Rfam family "5.8S ribosomal RNA". From Rfam's summary of the family: 5.8S ribosomal RNA (5.8S rRNA) is a component of the large subunit of the eukaryotic ribosome. It is transcribed by RNA polymerase I as part of the 45S precursor that also contains 18S and 28S rRNA. Lineage: Eukaryota; Fungi; Ascomycota; Sordariomycetes; Magnaporthales; Magnaporthaceae. The record is from RNAcentral.